This 189-nucleotide unclassified non-coding RNA is filed under the name Glomeraceae sp. Its description in RNAcentral is "partial contains 5.8S ribosomal RNA and internal transcribed spacer 2". The stretch from base 1 to 71 matches the Rfam family "5.8S ribosomal RNA", at positions 84 to 154 of the family's 154-position model. Lineage: Eukaryota; Fungi; Glomeromycota; Glomeromycetes; Glomerales; Glomeraceae. The record is from RNAcentral.
GUGAAUCAUCGAAUUUUUGAACGCAAAUUGCACUCUCUGGUAUUCCGGAGAGUAUGCCUGUUUGAGGGUCAGUAUAAAUAAAAAUCGGUGUGGUUGCUGCCUUUCUUGGUCACGUACCGGAUUUGAGUCGUCUUGCCUUCGGAUAAGUGGCCUAACAUUUUUCAUGAUUUUUUCGAAGGUAUUUAACUU